RNAcentral lists this ribosomal RNA (458 nucleotides) under uncultured bacterium. Its description in RNAcentral is "partial 16S ribosomal RNA". It matches the Rfam family "Bacterial small subunit ribosomal RNA", at positions 29 to 507 of the family's 1533-position model. The record is from RNAcentral.
AACGAACGCUGGCGGCAUGCCUAACACAUGCAAGUCGAACGAGACCUUCGGGUCUAGUUGCGCACGGGUGCGUCGCGCGUGGGAAGCUUCACUUAUGUUCGGGAUACCUCCCCGACAGGGGUGCUAAUGCCGGGUAAUGUACUCUAACCCAAGAUUUAUCGUCCUUGGGUGGGCACGGGUUCGAUUGGCCAGUUGGGAGGGUAAGGGCCCACCAAGGCGACGAUCCGUAGCUGGGCUGAGAGGCAGAACGGCCACACUGGAACUGAGACACGGGCCAGACUCCUACGGGAGGCAGCAGUGGGGAAUAUUGGACAAUGGGCGCAAGCCUGAUCCAGCCAUACCGCGUGGGUGAAGAAGGCCUUCGGGUUGUAAAGCCCUUUUGUUGGGAAAGAAAAGCAGCAGGUUAAUACCCCGCUGUUCUGACGGUACCCAAAGAAUAAGCACCGGCUAACUUCGUG